UGGUGGGGUGAUUUGUCUGCUUAAUUGCGAUAACGAACGAGACCUUAACCUGCUAAAUAGCCAGGCUAGCUUUGGCUGGUCGCCGGCUUCUUAGAGGGACUAUCGGCUCAAGCCGAUGGAAGUUUGAGGCAAUAACA
RNAcentral lists this ribosomal RNA (137 nucleotides) under uncultured eukaryote. Its description in RNAcentral is "partial 18S ribosomal RNA". It matches the Rfam family "Eukaryotic small subunit ribosomal RNA", at positions 1299 to 1458 of the family's 1831-position model. The record is from RNAcentral.